AGUAAUGUCUGGGAAACUGCCUGAUGGAGGGGGAUAACUGCUGGAAACGGUAGCUAAUACCGCAUAACGUCGCAAGACCAAAGUGGGGGACCUUCGGGCCUCAUGCCAUCAGGUGUGCCCAGAUGGGAUUAGCUAGUAGGUGGGGUAACGGCUCACCUAGGCGACGAUCCCUAGCUGGUCUGAGAGGAUGACCAGCCACACUGGAACUGAGACACGGUCCAG
Molecule: ribosomal RNA, 222 nt
Filed under: uncultured bacterium
Lineage: Bacteria
Description: partial 16S ribosomal RNA
Rfam family: Bacterial small subunit ribosomal RNA
Source: RNAcentral